RNAcentral lists this ribosomal RNA (301 nucleotides) under uncultured bacterium. RNAcentral describes it as "partial 16S ribosomal RNA". It matches the Rfam family "Bacterial small subunit ribosomal RNA", at positions 509 to 809 of the family's 1533-position model. The record is from RNAcentral.
CAGUCGCCACGGGAAUACGUAGGGUGCGAGCGUUAAUCGGAAUUACUGGGCGUAAAGCGUGUGUAGGUGGUUGUUUAAGUCUGUCGUGAAAGCCCUGGGCUCAACCUGGGAAUUGCGAUGGAUACUGGGCGACUAGAGUGCGGUAGAGGAUAGUGGAAUUUCCGGUGUAGCAGUGAAAUGCGUAGAGAUCGGAAGGAACAUCUGUGGCGAAGGCGACUAUCUGGGCCAACACUGACACUGAGACACGAAAGCGUGGGGAGCAAACAGGAUUAGAUACCCGUGUAGUCCCUGUCUCUUAUAA